This 274-nucleotide ribosomal RNA is filed under the name uncultured bacterium. RNAcentral's name for it is "partial 16S ribosomal RNA". It matches the Rfam family "Bacterial small subunit ribosomal RNA", at positions 523 to 796 of the family's 1533-position model. The record is from RNAcentral.
AUACGGAGGGAGCAAGCGUUAUUCGGAAUCACUGGGCGUAAAGGACGCGUAGGCGGGUUUGUAAGUCAGGUGUGAAAUCCUACAGCUCAACUGUAGAACUGCACUUGAAACUACAGACCUAGAGUAUGGAAGGGGCAGAUGGAAUUAGUGGGGUAGGGGUAAAAUCCGUAGAUAUCACUAGGAAUACCGAAAGCGAAGGCGAUCUGCUGGGACAUUACUGACGCUGAGGCGUGAAAGCGUGGGGAGCAAACAGGAUUAGAUACCCCGGUAGUCC